RNAcentral lists this ribosomal RNA (609 nucleotides) under Escherichia coli. Its description in RNAcentral is "bacterial SSU rRNA". It matches the Rfam family "Bacterial small subunit ribosomal RNA", at positions 911 to 1520 of the family's 1533-position model. The record is from RNAcentral. Lineage: Bacteria; Pseudomonadati; Pseudomonadota; Gammaproteobacteria; Enterobacterales; Enterobacteriaceae.
UGACGGGGGCCCGCACAAGCGGUGGAGCAUGUGGUUUAAUUCGAAGCAACGCGAAGAACCUUACCAGGUCUUGACAUCCUUUGACCACUCUAGAGAUAGAGCUUCCCCUUCGGGGGCAAAGUGACAGGUGGUGCAUGGUUGUCGUCAGCUCGUGUCGUGAGAUGUUGGGUUAAGUCCCGCAACGAGCGCAACCCUUAUUGUUAGUUGCCAUCAUUCAGUUGGGCACUCUAGCAAGACUGCCGGUGACAAACCGGAGGAAGGUGGGGAUGACGUCAAAUCAUCAUGCCCCUUAUGACCUGGGCUACACACGUGCUACAAUGGGAAGUACAACGAGUUGCGAAGUCGCGAGGCUAAGCUAAUCUCUUAAAGCUUCUCUCAGUUCGGAUUGCAGGCUGCAACUCGCCUGCAUGAAGCCGGAAUCGCUAGUAAUCGCGGAUCAGCACGCCGCGGUGAAUACGUUCCCGGGCCUUGUACACACCGCCCGUCACACCACGAGAGUUUGUAACACCCGAAGUCGGUGAGGUAACCUUUUUGGAGCCAGCCGCCUAAGGUGGGAUAGAUGAUUGGGGUGAAGUCGUAACAAGGUAGCCGUAUCGGAAGGUGCGGCUG